RNAcentral lists this ribosomal RNA (1223 nucleotides) under metagenome. RNAcentral describes it as "bacterial SSU rRNA". It matches the Rfam family "Archaeal small subunit ribosomal RNA", at positions 211 to 1445 of the family's 1478-position model. The record is from RNAcentral.
GAGGCCGCGACCGAUCAGGUUGUUGGUGAGGUAAUGGCUCACCAAGCCUUUUACCGGUGCGGGCCGUGAGAGCGGAAGCCCGGAGAUGGGCACUGAGACAAGGGCCCAGGCCCUACGGGGCGCAGCAGUCGCGAAAACUUUGCAAUACACGAAAGUGUGACAGGGCUAUCCCGAGUGCCAUCCGCUGAGGAAGGCUUUUACCCAGUCUAAAACGCUGGGGGAAUAAGGAGAGGGCAAGUCUGGUGUCAGCCGCCGCGGUAAUACCAGCUCUCCGAGUGGUGUGGAUGUUUAUUGGGCCUAAAGCAUCCGUAGCUGGCUAAGUUAGUCCCUUGUUAAAUCCACCGAAUUAAUCGUUGGAUUGCGGGGGAUACUGCUUGGCUAGGGGACGAGAGAGGCAGACGGUAUUUCCGGGGUAGGGGUGAAAUCCUAUAAUCCCGGGAAGACCACCAGUGGCGAAGGCUGUCUGCUAGAACGCGCCCGACGGUGAGGGAUGAAAGCUGGGGGAGCGAACCGGAUUAGAUACCCGGGUAGUCCCAGCUGUAAACGAUGCAGGCUAGGUUUUGGACGGCCACGUGCCGUUCUAGUGCCGCAGGGAAGCUGUUAAGCCUGCCGCCUGGGGAGUACGAUCGCAAGAUUGAAACUUAAAGGAAUCGGCGGGGGAGCACCACAAGGGGUGAAGCUUGCGGUUUAAUUGGAGCAACGCCGGAAAUCUCACCGGGAGCGACAGCAGUAUGAAGGCCAGAUUAAAGGUCUUGCUAGACGAGCUGAGAGGAGGUGCAUGGCCGUCGCCAGUUCGUGCCGUGAGGUGUCCUGUUAAGUCAGGCAACGAUCGAGACCCGCGUCCUCUGUUGCAACUAGCCUUGUGCUGGGCACACUGAGGAGACCGCCACUGAUAAAGUGGAGGAAGGAGCGGGCCACGGCAGGUCAGUAUGCCCCGAAUCUCCCGGGCCACACGCGAGCUGCAAUGGCAGGUACAAUGGGUUCCGACCUCGAAAGGGGAAGGCAAUCUCGAAAGCCUGCCGUAGUUGGGAUCGAGGGCUGAAACCCGCCCUCGUGAACAUGGAAUCCCUAGUAAUCGCGUGUCAUUAGCGCGCGGUGAAUACGUCCCUGCUCCUCGCACACACCGCCCGUCGUUCCAUCCGAGCGACUCUUGGGUGAGGCGCCGUCUUUCAUGGCGGCGUCGAAUCUAAGUUUCGUAAGGAGGGAAAAGUCGUAACAAGGUG